AUGGAGGUCGAGAUCAAGCUCCGUCUCCCCGACGCGGCUGCACACCGGCGCUCCUCCUUCCUCGCGCCCCGCCUGCUCCGCACCGACGCCCCAGCGCGGCCCCUCGCCGCCNNNNNNNNNNNNNNNNNNGCCGCCACCGCCGCCCAGCGGGACGUCCGCCUCUACGGCACCGACGACCGCGACCCCUCCCGCGCCGUCCUCACGCUCAAGCGCCGCCCGCGCAUCGACGCCGGCGUCAGCCGCGUUGAGGAGGUCAUGGAGCCCCUCGACCCCGCCCUCGCCCUCACCUGCGUCGACAACCCCGCCCGUCUCGACGCGGUCGACUCCCCCAUCGUCCGGCUCGUCUCCGACGAGUACGGCGUCGGCAGGGACAAAGCGCCGUUCGUCUGCCUUGGCGGCUUCCGGAACACCCGCGGUGUGUAUGAGCUCGAGGAGGGCGAGGGGCAAGGGCUCGUGCUAGAGCUCGACGAGACACACUUCGAUUUCGGCACAAACUACGAGCUGGAGUGCGAGACCGCUGAGCCCGACCAGGCCAAGGAGGUCCUGGAGCGGCUGCUCACCGUGGCUGGGGUGCCGUAUGAGUACUCCCGGAGCAAUAAGUUCGCGUGCUUCAUGGCCGGGAAGCUGCUUCCGUGA
This 636-nucleotide ribosomal RNA is filed under the name Triticum aestivum (bread wheat). Its description in RNAcentral is "partial small subunit ribosomal RNA". The record is from RNAcentral. Lineage: Eukaryota; Viridiplantae; Streptophyta; Magnoliopsida; Poales; Poaceae.